This 468-nucleotide ribosomal RNA is filed under the name uncultured bacterium. RNAcentral describes it as "partial 16S ribosomal RNA". It matches the Rfam family "Bacterial small subunit ribosomal RNA", at positions 28 to 507 of the family's 1533-position model. The record is from RNAcentral.
GACGAACGCUGGCGGCGUGCUUAACACAUGCAAGUCGAACGGAAAGGCCCUGCUGUUGUGGGGUGCUCGAUUGGCGAACGGGUGAGUAACACGUGAGUAACCUGCCCUUGACUUUGGGAUAACUUCAGGAAACUGUGGCUAAUACCGGAUAGGAUCUCCUGCUGCAUGGUGGGGGGUGGAGAGUUUCGGCGGUUGGGGAUGGACUCGCGGCUUAUCAGCUUGUUGGUGGGGUAGUGGCUUACCAAGGCUUUGACGGGUAGCCGGCCUGAGAGGGUGACCGGCCACAUUGGGACUGAGAUACGGCCCAGACUCCUACGGGAGGCAGAAGUGGGGAAUAUUGCACAAUGGGCGGAAGCCUGAUGCAGCAACGCCGCGUGCGGGAUGACGGCCUUCGGGUUGUAAACCGCUUUCGCCUGUGACGAAGCGUGAGUGACGGUAAUGGGUAAAGAAGCACCGGCUAACUACGUG